CGUUGCCCUCUCAGCCCGCAAGGGAGCACUCAACGCAGAGAAGAAGAAGGCAGAGGAUAGUGCAGCGGCGAAGGAAGUGGAUGGCGGCUGCGGUGGGGCUCAGCAUGGGGACGUGUCUUUCCCCUCAUAACAGCGAAUGAAAGGCAUUGGUUGUGGCGGCAUUGUAAGAUUUUUACUGCUAGGAACUCAAACUAACAUUUGAGGUGGCUGCCGGGAACACUACAACAGUUUGGACUCUAAGAUUGAAGUACACUGGGCACGUCGAGUAGACCCUGAGCAACAAUACUUGAAGCUCGAGGUGUUUUGUUGACGAAUGACAGGUAUGGCGGCAUUCCAGGUUUUGGCAAACCUGGGGAAACAGGUUGAUCAGAUGGCUCUACUCACAUACUACUGGAAAGGUUUUGGGACUAUUGUAGUGCCGGCGCGUCAUGUUUUGGUCUUAUUGAUGUCUUGUUUUUGCCAGACAUCAAUGUUGUGGUUUGGGACAUUUUUUACAUAUGUAUUAUUGAGAAAAUAUGAUGUCAUUUUGUAUGGACUAAAUUUGUCAUAUAAUGGAAAGUAGCCCCAUUGUCUUUGAUGUGCAUAGCUCAUUUCCUUUUGAAUCGUUGUGUUGUUGCACCUCAACGUUUUAUGUUUUAACAAAACAAAAAGAAAGGGUUAUUUCAGGGUCAAAGGGUUGGGGUGUGACACUUAGUGCUUAAACUCAGUGAUCGAUUUGGUUUAAAUACUAAAAGGUCAGAUUUUCAACUAGUUGCUUUCUCCUUCACAUGAUACUUUUACUAUCGAGGCAAAUGAAAAUGACUCUCUUGAGUACUAAAUCAAAAAAGUUGAUACUUCACUGAACUCUAGCCACACAUUCGAAUAGAUAGUAGAAACACAUGAAGGAGCAUCAUAGAGAAAUGCAAUGGUUGCAAGUUGCUAAAUAUCAAGGGGUAUUCAAUUAUUAUAAAAAGGGAAUGUAUUUUAUUUAUUUUGACAAAUAAACAUCCCAUCAUUUCAUUUUGCCCUUCUAAGUGGGUCUCUCAUUUAUAAAUAGAAAGGCAUUUUGGCGGUUUUGGUUUAAGGCAAACAACUUGCAUGUUCUAGUCAAGUAUGCUAAAAUUGAAAUUAAAUGAUUUAGCCCUGCCGCUUCUUGCAUCUGUGCUUAGUCCUUAUUCAAAAUAGAAAUUUGUCGAGUAACUAUAUGCAAGAAACAUUUUCUAUAUCUUAUGAACUUGUAUGCUACAAGAAUGUAUUGGUUAAUGCAGAAAAUGGUGAAUAAUUUGAACUCUACUAUAAAAAAAUAAAAUUAUAUUUUUAGCUUAAUUACUUGUCAUUUGUUAUUAGUCAAUCCCUUUUGGAAAUAUCAUUUCAUCAAAAUUGAGUUUUUCACAAAACCAACAUUUGAUGGUCACUCCAAGCACUCCUUAAACAACAUUUUGUCAACAAAGUACCAUCUUAAGUUGUCAUCCUAUCAUACCCUUGAAAGUUUUAGAAGCAUUUGAAUUUAGGUUUAAUUAAAUGGGGUUUUAAUGCAUGCUUUAAACGCUCACUCUAAUGUUUAUAGGAAGGAAAAGCGAGUUUGAGGACAACUAUGUAAGGCGGUAUGGUGUUUCUUUGUUGACAAGGAAAUGAUUUUUUAUCUUUCAUUUUUCUAGGUUUAAAUGGUUUCUCUUGGAAGUUGCCAUUGCCUCAGAAAAAAGUUCAAAUUUCUGUCCAUUAUUUAUCCAAGUUGCAGCCAAAUCGUAUUGCAGAUUUGAUUGUUUUCCAACUCCAAACACAUGCAGCAAGUUGGUCCAAUUACCAAGUCAAGCUUUUGGCUGAGUCACAACUUGCUCAUAGAUGGACAUUUCUUCCACCUUCUUGUGCAUGAAUUCCCAAGAGGGCACCAUCUAGUUUGGUUAACAUUGAGCAAAAUGAUGCAAUUUUAAGUUGAUAUGCUAACAACAUAAAAGGUAGGGCUGCACAGGAGCCGAGUUGAGCCCAAGCUUGGCCAGCUCGAGCUCGACUAUACAAAGUCCAGCUCGAGUUCGACUCAUUUAACCCAUUUAACUCGUUUAGGCAUUAAAUGUGUCCAAAUUUUCUGUUGCAACACCUUUCAACCCAAUUUAAAACCAAUAUAUAAAAGCAUUGAACAACAUUUAAACGAAAUUAGCUUUGGCAUAUUUUGCACAGUAUUUCAUAACUUCUCUCAGCUCCUAUCUGUAAACUAAAUUGUGUAAUUCAUGAGGAAGCCAAAUGCGCUUUGGCAAGUUGUAAAAGAAAAAGCAGCAAAUAAUACUGUUCAAGGUAGCAAAUAAUAAUUGAACUGUAUACUGAUUGUUAACAGGAAGUUCCUCUGGUUGAGAUGCUACACAGUACACACCAGAGGAUCAACUCGCCAAGGUGAAAUGGCUGAAAUUGUAUGUCUGUCAAAACAAUGCGAAAUCAAUGUUUAUAUACCAAAUCAUGGUUCAACCUGAAGCUGACAUAGAACAGCCAAAAGUUAUUAUGAUUACACACCAAUGCCAUUUUGCAUUAAAUAAGUUUACUUGUAGAAAUGCAUGGCUGACACAUUUGCCUUCUGAACAGUAAGCAUAACAGCACCCAUUUGAUUCUGGACAUAGCCCCAGCAUCUAAACAAAUAAUAUAAUCAGUGUAAGUUAGAAGUCGAACCCUCCAUGCUGCAAGAAGGAAUUUACCAUUUUCCGCCACUGCUGUAAAGUGUAAACAAUCCAAAGCGGAUAUUACUUCAAGAUGGAAUUUUAUGAAGAGCUUAGAACACACUGCUUCUGUCACACCCCAACCUUUUGACCCUCAAACACUUUUUUUUUUCUAACAUAAAGCAUUGAAGUGUGACUACACAACAACUCAAAAAAAAGAGCUAUGCCAUUCAAAACAAUGGGGUGAACUUUCAUUUAUAAGCCACUUGCUUCCUGUCAACUACAACGCAUGAAUUCCUAUGAACGAAUUAAUUUACACAGUACAGUAACAUCAUUUGCUUGAGAUUGCAUUUUCGUGUCUAUUUUGCUAUCUUGAAUUUCUUAUAGGUUUGCAUCACAGAGAUGAUAUCUUUCUUUUC
Molecule: RNA transcript, 3040 nt
Organism: Nymphaea colorata (pocket water lily)
Lineage: Eukaryota; Viridiplantae; Streptophyta; Magnoliopsida; Nymphaeales; Nymphaeaceae
Exons: 4
Source: RefSeq, a predicted model, not a curated record